UGAACCUCUGAUUGAUCACCUGAGGCAAGCAAUGAGUCAGCUAUGGGAGCACAGAUGAAGGCAAUUCACCUGUGCUGCUGGAAGAGGUGGUGCCUGGCUGCACCUCUCCUAGACACAUUUAAGAGCUGACUGCCAGUAGGAAAGGAUUUCUUCUGGAGAUCUCUGGAGUUUUGCAGUGAGCCCAGGGUGAGGAUUCUCCUUCCCUAUUUUGAAGGGAAAUCUGUGAAUGAAGAAAAGGAAAUUUCUUGUGGUUUCGUACAGCGUUGAUGUAUCAUAGAACAUCUUGCAUCAGUGAAACCUGUUAACAAGUUACAGACUCUUUGGUUUUGCUCCUCCGUUUGAAGGUUAUUGGCACCACUGCUUGUCUGGAAGAACAAGCUAUUUCACUCAGGAAAAUUGGACUAUGGAUAUAUGCUGACCAAAACCUGUGACCUGCAAUGAAACGAAGAAUAUUCUUGCAGUCUUAAAAGGUGGAUUCUGUUAUUCAGGUUUCUUUGAUUAGAAAUCAUAUUCCACAUUGAAGGAAUUCUUAUUCCAGUUCUCAGGAAAGCAAGAACUAAUUGAUUCAAGCAAGAGGACUCUACAAUGCAUUACUAAAGAAUCAUCUGUUAGAUGUGUCCUCAGUAAUGCUCCUUGAGAUGGAAUCUGUUUGAACCUACUAAUGUCAACCCUGAAAAAGAAAUGUCCUUCCAACACUACAAUGUUCAGUGUCUGUGUGACCUGUGAGUGUCUCUCUGCUUCCCCUCCUUACAGAUCAAUCUGUCUCAGCGGAAUUAAUGCCAGACACCUCAGGUACCAUUCUAUUUCUGUCUAACCCUUUCCCCUUCUCUGUAAUGAGUGAGGUAUUCCUGAUCAAAUCCUAUCAAAUGCCAGAUACCUUUCUCAUAACACAACGAUUCAGUUAAUCAUAGAAAUAAUUAGAAUCACGUACCAGUAUUAAAAGUUACCUUUCUUUACAUAGCAAUUUCUGAAUAAUUAUUGUCAAAAUCUUCCAAAAUUUAUUCCAAGUGAAAACAUAUAGUGUGAAAUUCUGCAGAAAAUAAUUACUUUAUAAUUGAAAUAAUAUUAUAUUUUCAUUCUUACAUACCACAGUUGAACAACCUUACAAAAUAGGUAAUGUUAUAGACCAUAGAUAAGAUAAACAAUAUGUGCUGCUGUAUUUCUAGCCUGUGAUUUUCAUAACUCCUCUAAUGUAGUAAAAAAAGGAAACAUGGAUCAGGCAGUUAUCAUGCACUGAAAGGAAAUUGCUUACAGAGCCUUGGAAAUGAGAUGUCAAGCCUUUUUUCUUGUUUUGACUGAUUUUAAGUUUUAUUGUAUAUAUAUUUUGAAUUUUUAGUAUCAUUUGUGAAAUAUAUACUUGUUAAAAUUCUAAAAAUAGAAUCAGAAGAAGAUUUCUUGAAAACCCAAUAAUGAAAAUAAAUGUUUUUGCAAUGACUUGCUUGCUUAAAAUUUUCUGGUGUUAUAAUUAAUAAAAGAUUUAUAUGAGUAUUUCAGUAAAUCAACAUCUAGAUGCUAAUAUUGGUAUGGUUCGAAUGUGUCUCUAAUUCAUAUCUCCACAAAUACUAAUGUUUCAAUCUUAGAGCAAAAUUCCAUUAUUGAAAGAGGCGGGUUCUCUUAUUAUCCACAUAUAAAAUUCAGAUGAAAAUUCUAGAAAAAAGAGGUAAUAAAAACUUCUCUGAAAAAAAAAUUGUCAUUAAAAGUGGUAUCUAUCCAACUCCACUGUCAUACUAUUAGAAGAAAAAGCAUUCUCACGAAUCUUAGUGCUCUUUGUCAUGUAGUACUUGGUUAUAUUUCUUUAGACAGAUGUUAAAUGUAGUGCUGCAAAAGCAAAAGGUAGCAUUUGCCAAAUAUGCAGCAGGAAAGAAGCAGGAAAUAAAACCCUUCAACUCUUUUCAAGAUAAUAAAUUAUCAAGAACAGUGAAGCAAUAAGAGCUUGCAGAGAAAUGAAUCUUUAUGAGAGGCAGGAAAAAAAAUGCACACAAGAUUGAAAAAGGAAAAAGAAACUUUGGAAAGUUUCAGUGUUUGAGAAAAAGUGUUUAAGAGCUGUUAUCCUGGUAACUAUAUAAAAGUUAGGCAUAUUGUAUUAAGCUAUUUGCUUAGUCACUGGAGAUAGGAGCAACUCCUGAAUAGCAUCUCAGAUGUGUAAGUUCAUCUGCAAGUACCUAAUGCUCUUGUAAAGGGAGCUAUGAGUGCAAGGAUAAAUUCAGGAGAAAAAUGUCACACAGUAGUGCAUUAGUAAGAGACAACAAACAGAUGCUUGAAAACUGGUACAAAGAUGAACCUUAAACUAUAAUGUGAAAAAAGAUCACGGUUAACUUAAAUGCUCCCCAUUUCAGGACUGCUAUGCUGCCACUAAUGAAACAAGCAAGUUAAAAAUCUUCUAAAUAUACAUUACCAUAUAUGUUCAGAAGGGGAAACUCAGCUAUUCUUUGUGAAAAGGCCUGAAAUGCUGAACAUUCAGCCAAAUUUUAAAACAGUGUCGCUCCGGGAUAUAUACACAGAUGAUGCAAGCUGCAUAAUGAUAUCAAGCAGACGCAGAGGUGAGUCUGAAUGAAGCAUUCCUUGUACAGCUCUCCUGCCUUUGCUUUGCAUGUCACAGUUGAGGAGGCCAGCAUAUAUCCUCUCUAUAUGUGAUGUGAUAAAAUCAAUCACUCAAAUAAAGGGCGCAGCCACUCACUCUUGCCCCCACGCAGUGAACAACAGGGAAAUGUAUGGGUGGAGUUUCACAGGUAAAGCAAAACCUGCGCACAGAAGGAAAUCAAAAUAAGAAAUCCGUUCUGUGCUUCCCAUCAGCAGGCAGAAGUUCAGCCAUUUUGAGCAAAGCAGUGCUUACCUGGUAAGACAGAUGCCAAAUCCAAAUUCAAAACAUGGCACCACACAAGAAACCAUGGAGAAAAUUAACUGUCCUAACAAAAAAUAAGUGGUACACGGUGGAAAAUGAAGGCAAUUUGAACAUUGUUUAUAUUAAGUUUGAUUUGGUAAUAUGACAGAAGUUGUAACAACCUGUAGCACAUUCCUGGAGGAAGGACUAAGGUGGUAGGUCUUCUGUCUGAAAGCACUUUUUACUUCAUAUUGGCGCUAUGUUUUCCAGAGCUUCAUUUGUUCUCCUAUGUUGUGGGGAAACAGGGUCUUAAAUGAGAUAUUUAAUUUUUACCUAACAUCAGCAAAAGUUUGAGGUCAAGUCCUCUAAAAGAAGUAAGACUCUAUCUUGAGGUAAAACAUUUUUUCCAGAACUGAUUUUUUCUGUCCUGUAUUUCCACCAUACUUUUCUACUCAAAGUUAUUUUUUUCUAUCUUUGCUAUCUCCUACUAAGCAUAGAAAGACCUGCCUUAUCUCUAGCUUAGUCCACUGUGGGAACAUAAGGUAGUUCAGGUUUUUUUUUUGAAAGUGACAUUAUUUUGAAUAGCCUCGCUUUUAAACACCGAAAGAUAUUUUCUUCAAAUAGCCUUGCAGCAACAAAGGAACAUCUCUAUCACUAUUGCAUUCUGCUUAAAUUGUUCUUCAAAUAUGGUAUUAAAAUCAUCUCUGGGUUUGACUACUUAAUAUACCAUUUCUAGCCUUCAGUAAUAGCUAGCUGGCUUUCAUCAUGUCAUGCUUUUCUCAUUUUUAGACUAUUUCUCAUAUGGUGUAGUCACUCAGAACACCAAGAGAAAUUAUCAACCUCUUAUUAUAGCCUUUGUAACUGUUUUAAUUUUCAUUCUAAUGCAGAAUUAAUUAUUUGAACACAAAUAUCCAAAUAGCUGUCAUUACUUCUAAUUCAUUUAUUUUCAAUAAAUAAAUACAUGGGAGCUGGGGAGGGAGGGGGGAGGAAUUUAUGCCCUUGAGGGUAGUAAUAGUUUUGAAAGUCUCAAGACACUAUAAAGUGAAAAAUAUAAAGCAGAUGCUCAAGCUUUAUACCGUUCGCGUGUAUUCAAAUAUCUCACUUUUCUUUUUCUAAAAAAUUAUUGUCCGUAUGUUUUUACACAUUUCUUUCUUUUGAAAAACAAAAUGUUUUUGUCAUUGAUCCUUGUGGUUUUCUAUUCUUCAUCAUUGAAAACUGUCAUAGUCACCUUCAAAUAUGGGCUCUGAUGAUAAAGGUCUGUCUGGGAAACAAAUCCUAUUAAAUACAUGACAAAAAUAAUUUAAUUCAAUCUUAAGGAAGAGAGAUGAGGAAGGUAAUUUCAAAGCUCAUUUCAAAGAUGUGGUACCAUGUAAAUAAUUAUAUAUCUUCCUCUGGUAACCGAAGACUAUCACUGUGAUCACACUGCUAACUCUAAUUCUGAUAUUGUGUUUCCUCAUGCACGGUUAUGAAAUGUAACAAAAUCAAAUUGUAAGUAGCUGUUAAUUAGAAUAUUUUUCAGACUCUAUUGGAU
Tympanuchus pallidicinctus (lesser prairie-chicken) is the source of this 4352-nucleotide long non-coding RNA. RefSeq lists it as uncharacterized. The record is from RefSeq and is a predicted model, not a curated record. NCBI's taxonomy places the organism in Eukaryota, Metazoa, Chordata, Aves, Galliformes, Phasianidae. The transcript is spliced from 7 exons.